ACGGGAUCGUGUUCUGAUCUGCGUUUAUAGACCUUGAUAUAUUUUAAACAUAAAAAAUCGUGCUAAUAUAUUUUCAAACGAGAACUACUGCGUUAACGGCUAUUAAUUUUCUAAUUUGUUCUAGAAGGUUCCAUAGCCGAAUCGUUUUAAUUAAUAUAUAUAAACAUGGAAGAACAGAGAGAGUCGAUUUCUAGUCGAUUAAUUAAAUUAAAUCAAUUAUUCUUUGAAAGACUUAAAGGAAAUGUUACAAAUCGUCAUAUAAUAUCCAGAGAUGGGUUAAUGGAUGCUUUAUUCGCAUUAUAUGAUGAAUGCAAUAAUGAAUAUAUGAGAAAAGAUAAACACAUAGCAGCUUUUGUAG
Molecule: long non-coding RNA, 358 nt
Organism: Centruroides sculpturatus (bark scorpion)
Lineage: Eukaryota; Metazoa; Arthropoda; Arachnida; Scorpiones; Buthidae
Exons: 3
Source: RefSeq, a predicted model, not a curated record